AGAGAGAUGGCUCAGCAGUUAAGAGCACUGACUGAUGUUCCAGGGCACCUGGGUUCAAUUCCCAGGCCUUCCA
Molecule: transfer RNA, 73 nt
Filed under: Neotoma lepida (desert woodrat)
Lineage: Eukaryota; Metazoa; Chordata; Mammalia; Rodentia; Cricetidae
Rfam family: tRNA
About the family: Transfer RNA (tRNA) molecules are approximately 80 nucleotides in length. Their secondary structure includes four short double-helical elements and three loops (D, anti-codon, and T loops).
Source: Rfam by way of RNAcentral